This 450-nucleotide ribosomal RNA is filed under the name uncultured Glomeromycotina. RNAcentral describes it as "SSU rRNA". It matches the Rfam family "Eukaryotic small subunit ribosomal RNA", at positions 569 to 1021 of the family's 1831-position model. The record is from RNAcentral. Lineage: Eukaryota; Fungi; Glomeromycota.
AGCAGCCGCGGUAAUUCCAGCUCCAAUAGCGUAUAUUAAAGUUGUUGCAGUUAAAAAGCUCGUAGUUGAAUUUCGGAGUUUGUCGGUUGGUCGGGCUUCACUGUCCGCACUGGCCUGAUGGAUUCCUACCUUCUGAAUAACCAGCAUGCUAUUAAGUUAGUGCGUUGGGGAAGCAGAGCUAUUACCUUGAAAAAAUUAGAGUGCUUAAAGCAGGCUUUUGCUUGAAUAGAUUAGCAUGGAAUAAUAAAAUAGGACGGCAUGGUUCUAUUUUGUUGGUUUCUAGGAUCACCGUAAUGAUUAAUAGGGAUAGUUGGGGGCAUUAGUAUUCAAUUGUCAGAGGUGAAAUUCUUGGAUUUAUUGAAGACUAACUUCUGCGAAAGCAUUUGCCAAGGAUGUUUUCAUUAAUCAAGAACGAAAGUUAGGGGAUCGAAGACGAUCAGAUACCGUCGU